GACGAACGCUGGCGGCGCGCUUAACACAUGCAAGUCGAACGGAAAGGCCUGCUUUCCCUUGUGGAUUGCGGGUACUCGAGUGGCGAACGGGUGAGUAACACGUGAGUGAUCUGCCCCCAACUUGGGUAUAAGCCUGGGAAACUGGGUCUAAUUCCCGAUAGGACUGCAGGGUGGUGCCUGUGGUGGAAAACGAUUUUCUAGUGGUUGGGGAUGAGCUCGCGGCCUAUCAGCUUGUUGGUGGGGUAAUGGCCUACCAAGGCGGCGACGGGUAGCCGGCCUGAGAGGGUGGACGGCCACAUUGGGACUGAGAUACGGCCCAGACUCCUACGGGAGGCAGCAGUGGGGAAUAUUGCACAAUGGGCGGAAGCCUGAUGCAGCGACGCCGCGUGGGGGAUGACGGCCUUCGGGUUGUAAACUCCUUUCGACCGCGAGGAAGCCGCCUGGUUGGAAGGGUGGUGACGGUAGUGGUAGAAGAAGCACCGGCUAACUACGUG
This 494-nucleotide ribosomal RNA is filed under the name uncultured bacterium. RNAcentral's name for it is "partial 16S ribosomal RNA". It matches the Rfam family "Bacterial small subunit ribosomal RNA", at positions 28 to 507 of the family's 1533-position model. The record is from RNAcentral.